Molecule: ribosomal RNA, 5292 nt
Filed under: Triticum aestivum (bread wheat)
Lineage: Eukaryota; Viridiplantae; Streptophyta; Magnoliopsida; Poales; Poaceae
Description: partial small subunit ribosomal RNA
Source: RNAcentral
AUGGCGGAGAAGAUGCAGAUGGAGGCCGCGUGCAGGGAAGACGAGGCAGAGGACAGGGAGUAUUUCACCGAUCUCAUCAAAGACAUGGAGGAGAAAGAGACGGUUACAAAGGAGAUGCCGCAGCUUAUUAUUGUCAAGUACCAUGGCUGCUUCCCAUCGGCGAGUCCGUGCCGUGGUCCGACUACAGCGCCUAAGUAUCACCGUCGCAAUGCCGAUGCGGUUAGCAGCAUGGCUGCUCUCGCUCAGACAUGCCUCGUCAACGAGGAGCAGCUUGUGUCGGAGCGGAAGAUCCGGGUGAAACCUGAAACCUUGCAAAUGAAGAAAUUAACCCUUCUGAGCUGCCUGAUCCACGAGCGUGCACGUUCAGUCAUCCGCACAGCCGGUCGCGGCUUCGCUGAGGCUGGGCCACCUCCAUGCCCUAGGCCUAGGGAGGUGCCGGCCAGCGCCUUCUGGCUCCCUCGAAGCCUCUCCCUCGCCCAUCCCUCGCGCGCCGCCUCCCCUGCUUCGGGCUCGUCUCGCCCCGAUCCCCCGCCCCCUUCUGCUCCCGCCCUCGCCCCGCAUCCACCUCUCGCCGCGCCUCCCCCCUCGUCUGGCCGUCCGGCGGCUUCUCUGACGCCGGUAGCCCGCCUCGCCCUGCCCCCUCCCGCCCGGUUGCGGCUCGCCAUGCCGCGCGACCAGGCGGACCUGGCUCCCCGGGCGAAGCGCAAGGCGGGGGGUGAUUCCCGCGACUCGUCCUGGCCCUCCCCCGACUCCCUCCGACGGGAGGAGGAGCUCCGGCGCGAGCUCCGGGAGCUCCGGGACAGCCGCCGCUCCCCCUCCCGUCGGGAUGACCGGGCCCGGUCACGCUCGCCCCGAGCGUCGUCGGGCAACUGGCGCCGCCAGCGCUCCCCCUCGCCCUCCCGUCGUAGGGACCGGUCCCCCUCCCCCGCCCGUCCGGUUCGUGAUGGCAUCCUCCCUACUCCGGACACCCGCCGCUACGUCCCGCCUCACGCUGCCUCGGGGUCCUCGGCCCCGGGUCCGACCUCUGGGGGCGCUCCCGCCCGCGGCCGCCCUGGCCCCGCCAAGAAGAAGAAGCGUCGGGGUGCCCGACCCACUCCGACCAUCCCUCCAUCCUCGGGUCCGGGGGCCCCCUCCGCUCCGGGCCCCGUCUCCGGUCUUCCUCGCCCCCCUUGCUUCAACUGUGGGGUGAGGGGGCACUCCCAGGUUGCCUGUGUCAACCCCCAGUGCUGCUACCUCUGCAAGGAUCCGGGCCACCCCGCCAUUCUGUGUCCGGACAGACCGGUGGUGUCCGAGCUCAUGAUGUAUGGCCACGGCAUCGAGGGGUUGGGCUUCUUCCACCUUGAGGUCCCGGAUGCCCCUCCGCCUUCGCCUCAGGCGAUCGUCACGGUCGUUGACGGGGUGGCCUCCCCGGAGAUGAUCGAGGCCGAGCUCAACCACCUCUACCGUUGUCAGUGGGACUGGGUGGUUACCCCCACCGCCAGCCACAUCUUCUCCGUCGUCUUCCCCGACUCCGUCAGCUACGGCUACGGCACGCGUAGUGGCCGGAUCACCCUCGCCCUCAACCAGCUGGUGGUUGAGAUCUCCGAGCCUGUUCUCGACGCCCAGGCCGUGGCCGUCCUCGACACCGCUUGGAUCCUCAUCUCCGGUCUCCUUGACAUCGUGCGGUCAGAGCUUGUCAUCCGCCAGAUGUCUCGCCUCUUGGGCAAGGUGGUGGUGGUUGAUGAGCUCUCACCGCGCAAGGAGGAGGAGGUCAGGGUCAAGGUCAAGUGUCUCGACUCCACCAGGCUGCACACCUCGGUCCGGGUCUUCUUCAACGACCAGGGCUUCGACCUCAGGAUCGCCCCCGAGCCGCCCAACCACGUUGGACGCCCCCGCUCCCUCGACGUCGGUCCCCCAGACGACUUCCGGGGGGCCGGCGGAGACUACCACGGCCACGGCCCCCCGCCCUUCGGGGGCCGAGCUGGUGAUCCGGGGUCGCACCCGCUCCCGCACGGCGGCCCUCCGCGCUCUCAGCGCAUCUCGUGUCUUGGGGUCAAGCAGCCCCCCAAUGGCUCCUUGAUGCGUGCCCUAUUCUGGAACAUCCGCGGCUUCGGCCAUGAUGGCCGACGCCGCCAGUUAGUGGAGUACUUGCGAGUUGAACGCAUCGACCUAGUGGCCGUGCAGGAGACCAUGCGCCGGGACUUUGCGCUCCCUGAGCUCGACCGGCUGAGCUCUCACCUAUUUGCGUGGCACUGGCUCCCUUCUAGUGGGAGUGCAGGCCACUCGGGUGGCAUCCUCCUAGGCGUGAAGGAUGCCACCUUUGAGGUGGGCAACAUGGACCGGGGCGAAUUCUUCAUCAGCAUGGAGGUCUUUGAGAGAUCUCUCAAUUUCAAAUGGGAGAUCAUCAUCGUCUAUGGUCCGGCUGACCAUAACAAGAACAAUGGCAAUGUUAGUUUUGCCCGGAUGGACAUGUUUAACGACUUCAUUGCCGACCUCGCCCUCAGGGAGCUUGAUCGGGUUGGGGCUCGUUUUACUUGGACCAACCGCCAAGCCUCCCCGACCCUCUCCGUCUUGGACAGGGUCCUAGUUUCCCCCGAGUGGGACCUCCGGUGCCCCUUAGCCUCUCUUCGUGCCGUCACCCGGAUUGGGUCUGACCACGUUCCCCUGCUUCUCUCCUCCGCGGAUGAGCGCCCCCCGAUUCCCCCUCGGUUCUGUUUUGAGGCUUUCUGGCUCUCCCAGGCCGGAUUCUCCGACGCCGUCAGUGCUCGUUGGAUCGAGGCUCGUGGCCAUCCCCACCCCCGCCCCCCUUCCGCCAUAGAUGCGUGGCACUUCUGUGCGAAGCGUGCCCGACAAUUUAUGAAGGGGUGGGGAGCCAACCUGGGAAGAGACUCCAGGGAACGGAAGAAGGCUCUCCUGUCGGCGAUCCAGGCCCUCGACUUCAGGGCUGAUGCGAUCGGUCUCUCUCCUGACGAGUGGAUGUCCCGUUAUGACCUCGAGGACCAGCUCUCCGUGAUUUACUCUGAUGAGGAGGCUUAUUGGCGCAUUUGGGGCGCCCAGCGUUGGGUCUUGAAGGGGGAUGCGAAUACGGCCUACUUCCAGGCGAUCGCAAAUGGGCGCCGUAGACGCAACACCAUCUCCUGCCUUUGGGAGGGAGCCACUCUCCUUCAGGAUCCCCGCGAUAUCCGCGCCCAUGUUGAUGGCUUCUAUCGCUCCCUCUUCUCCCCCGCUCCUCGGAGCGGCCUCUCUCUUGCCUUUGACUGCUGGACCGGCGACCGUCUAGUCUCUGACAAAGACAAUGCCACCUUGACGGCCCCCUUCUCUGAACAAGAGGUCUGGGAGGCUAUCAAGGGUAUGAAUCCCUCCUCGGCGCCGGGCCCGGACGGCCUCCCGGUUCUCUUCUUCCAAACCUUCUGGAGCGUGGAGAUCGCCAAAAUCCAGUCCCGCUUCUAUUGGGCUGGGGAGCACGGCAAGCAGAAGUAUCACAUGGUCAGCUGGCCUGACAUCUGCAAGCCGAGGGAGCAGGGGGGUUUGGGGAUCAUGUGCUCCAAACGGAUGAAUAUUGCCCUCCUCUCCCGAUGGCUGUGGCGCAUCUCGCAGGGCCACGGGGGCCUCUGGCUGGACAUUAUCCGGAAUAAAUACCUGCGCGGCCAACCCCUUGCCUUCUGCCAGAAGUCGGGUGGCUCUCAGUUCUGGCAGUCCCUUGUCCAGCUCCUCCCUGUGCUCCGCAUUGGUACCUCUAUCUCGGUAGGAUCUGGCCGUUCGAUGUUAUUCUGGUAUGACCGUUGGGCCGGUGACGCCCCCUUUGCGGCUCGCUUCCUCAUUCUCUUUGCUAUCUCUGUCGACCCCAUGAUCUCUGUUGAUAGGGCCCUAUUUGACUUAGGGCGCCUCGCUUUCCGUCGGCCAUUUGGGCCUGCGGAAUCCGCCGCCUGGCGUGAGCUUCUUGAGUGCGUCGCUCUUCAUGAGCCGCUGGUUGACGGCGUCCAAGACCGUGUUCGAUGGCAUUUGGAGCCGUCUGGCCAGUUCUCUACCAAAUCGCUCUAUGCGGCCAUUGCCCCCUCCGCCGCCCCUCCCCCCCUCUCAAUGGUUUGGUCCGUCCGCCUCCCUCUGAAGAUCCGUAUCUUCAUGUGGCAGUGGAUCCGGGGACGGAUCCCCUCCGGUGUGGAGGUCCGCAAGCGUAAUGGCCCGGGUUCUGGUCUCUGCCCCCUCUGUGCCGUCCCCGAGGACUCUAACCACAUCUUCUUCGCUUGCACCUCUGCCCAGUUCCUCUGGAGCUGUUUUCGCGAGCUUGUCGGCGGAAAUUGGACUCACACCAACUUCCCCGACCUUUUUGCUGAACUCCAAGCGUCCCCCCCGUCCUCCCGCCACAUUAGGUGGCUGGAGGUUGGGACCCUAUCCUGGACUCUUUGGACUGUUCGUAAUAAGCUUGUGAUUGAGCGCACUCCGCUUCGUCGUGCUACUGACGCUCUCUACAAAUUCUCGGGUUUCCUGCAGCUUUGGCGGCCGCUUAGCCGUCUCCUGGAGCGCGACGCCAUCUCCGCCUUCAUCGCCGACCUCCGCUCGAUGGCCGUCCGCCUGUCGCCGCCGCCGCCGCCCCCUCCGCCGGAGCCUGACUAGGGCAGCGGGAUUUCUGAUGUGUUGAAUUCUUGGUGUAAGGAAAACAUUAAAGGUGGUGAAGAGAGUGAGCAAAGGAAAGAAGAAGGUCUUUUUGAGAAACUAUGGGGGUGGGAAAGGCUGCUACUACUGCUCGAUUCCGUUAAGUGGUCAUACUAUAGCAGCUACCUGGAGGAGUACUACAAACGCAAUGCUUAUGAGUUUGUAGCCGAUGAUGCUGCUACCAGCCAAACUCCCGGGGAUUUACAAAUCGCCGCUGCUGCUGACAUGGGUGCUGCUGCUGUUGCCAAAUUGGCAAGGGGUGAAUUGUGCGUUCCUACUGCCGUUGCUCUUGUGUGUAUCACCAGUGAGGCUGACCUGAUGUGUGAGCUGCUGAAGCAUGGCGCGAAGCCUUUUGACGACAUGAUCCAGCAUAGCAGCGUGAUCCACACGUGCGCCUUGGGCCUUGCGAACAACCUCAGAGGACACCAGUCUAUUGCCCCCGCCGCUGCAAUGGUGGGUAUGGCAAAGGAGGCCAAGAAGUUGUGCGAUUGUAUCAAGAGAAAGAAGAAGCUCGUCACCUUCGGCCUGUGCGAGCCUCGUGGGCUCGAGGAGUGCCGCUUGAUCCGGAUGAAAGCCUUGGAUGUUAUGACCAGCAUACUGCAGGAGUCUUCCUUUCCUUCUUCCAAGAUGCGGGAUGACGACGCAAUUGCAUAUGACUAA